This 164-nucleotide ribosomal RNA is filed under the name uncultured bacterium. RNAcentral describes it as "partial 16S rRNA". It matches the Rfam family "Bacterial small subunit ribosomal RNA", at positions 355 to 511 of the family's 1533-position model. The record is from RNAcentral.
UGGGGAAUAUUGGACAAUGGGCGAAAGCCUGAUCCAGCCAUGCCGCGUGUGUGAAGAAGGUCUUCGGAUUGUAAAGCACUUUAAGUUGGGAGGAAGGGCAGUAAGUUAAUACCUUGCUGUUUUGACGUUACCAACAGAAUAAGCACCGGCUAACUUCGUGCCAG